AGAGAGGCUCGGUGAAAUAGACUUGUCUGUGAAGAUGCGGACUACCUGCACCAGGACAGAAAGACCCUAUGAAGCUUUACUGUAACUUGAAAUUGAAAUUGGACUUUAUUCGCGCAGUAUAGGUGGGAGGCAUUGAAAAUAAUCUUGCGGGAAUAUUGGAGCCAUCAGUGAGAUACCACUCUUGUAAUGUUAGAUUUCUAACUUUGAAUCAUUAUCUGGUCAAAGAACAGUUUCAGGCGGGCAGUUUGACUGGGGCGGUCGCCUCCCAAAGAGUAACGGAGGCGCGCGAAGGUUGGCUCAGAGCGGUCGGAAAUCG
This 316-nucleotide ribosomal RNA is filed under the name Prorocentrum minimum. RNAcentral's name for it is "partial Bacterial large subunit ribosomal RNA". It matches the Rfam family "Bacterial large subunit ribosomal RNA", at positions 2025 to 2340 of the family's 2925-position model. Lineage: Eukaryota; Dinophyceae; Prorocentrales; Prorocentraceae. The record is from RNAcentral.